Molecule: ribosomal RNA, 264 nt
Filed under: uncultured bacterium
Lineage: Bacteria
Description: partial 16S ribosomal RNA
Rfam family: Bacterial small subunit ribosomal RNA
Source: RNAcentral
GUCCACGCCGUAAACUAUGGAUGCUAGCCGUCGGCAAGCUUGCUUGUCGGUGGCGCAGCUAACGCAUUAAGCAUCCCGCCUGGGGAGUACGGCCGCAAGGUUAAAACUCAAAGGAAUUGACGGGGGCCCGCACAAGCGGUGGAGCAUGUGGUUUAAUUCGACGCAACGCGAAGAACCUUACCAGCUCUUGACAUGUCAGGUCGGUUUCCAGAGAUGGGAUCCUCCCAGCAAUGGGCCUGAACACAGGUGCUGCAUGGCUGUCGU